This 1462-nucleotide long non-coding RNA is filed under the name Sus scrofa (pig). Its description in RNAcentral is "lncRNA (ENSSSCG00050054374.1)". Lineage: Eukaryota; Metazoa; Chordata; Mammalia; Artiodactyla; Suidae. The record is from RNAcentral.
UGUUCAGAUUUUCUAUUUCUUCAUGAUUCAGUCUUAGUAGGUUGUAUGUUUCUAGGAAUUUAUCUGUUUCUUCUAGCUUAUCCAAUUUAUUGGUAUAUAACUGUUCAUAGUAAUCUCUUGUAAUCCUUUGUAGUUCUUUGACAGUAGUUCUGAUGUCUCCUCUUUCAUUUCUGAUUUUAUUUUAGUUUUUUCUCUUUUUUUAAAAAAAAUUCUUAUGGCCACACUCAGGGCAUAUGGAAGUUUCUGGGCCAGGGAUUGAAUCCAAGCCAGAGCUGCACCCUAUGCUGCAGCUGCAGCAACUCUGGAUACUUUAAUACACUGCUCCAGGCUAGGGAUUGAACUCAUGUCUCUGCAGCAACCCAAGAUGCUACAGUCAGAUUCUUAACCCUCUGUGCCACAGUGGGAUCUCUUCUCUCUUUUUAUCUAAUCUAAGUUUUGUCAUUCUUGCUUAUCUUGUAUAAUAUUCUUUUUUCUGAAAACUACCAUUGCUUUAAGUAUAUACAUUUCUGAUUUAUUUUUGGUAUCAAUCACUGAGAAUAGGAAUAGGUAAAAAAAAAAAUGUUUAAGUCUAAUUACUUCUAUGAGAACCUUAGCAAUAGGCUUAUUAUUUAGCACUGACCCUAAUUAGGUAUAAAGGAUUUUUUUCAUUUCUGUUCUCUGGUUUUUUUUCUUUUUUUCGUCUUUUUCAAAUUGACAGAUGACAUGAGGCUUGAAUAGAGGAUAUAGUGGAUAAUACAAACAGAUUUGAAAAUGCUGGGAUUAUAUGCCUCAACUAAGAAGAUAAAAUUAAGGAAGACAACCAGACUUUUUAUGAAGUUACAUUCAGAGUCCAAUGAUAAAGGCACAAGGUUGAAGUUAAUUAGGAUGGGCAAAUGACAGUAGCAGUUCUGUGCCUGAACGUGAACUUCACUGAUUUGCAGAGACAGAGAGAGAGAAUUGGUUUCCAGUAGUUCCCCCAAAGAGUGAGUAACAUUCUUUGCCACAAAUCUCAAGAUUUGGUAUUUUAACUUUUCUUUUUUAUUUCUUAUUUAAAAAAUUUUAUUGACAUAUAGUUGAUUUUACAAUGUGGUGUUUUCUGUUAUAUGGAGUAGUUAUUUGGUUAUAGAUAUAUAUUUUUUCCUUAUAUAUUAAAUUCCCAGAAGAAGGAUGACUAUUGAAGAAUAUUUGCACAUUUAACUUUUAUAGAUGAGUAGACAUAAAGAUAAAUAGAUCAAUUUAUUUAUAGGUAUAUAGAAAGAGGAUAAAUGUUUGAUUCAAAAGUUUAUUAAUUUCCAGUUCUUUUGGUAUCAGUUUCUACAUUCACUUCAAGGAGAAAAAGAAAAAUUGUCUAUGUGUGUGUUCCAUAUCUUGUUUGCUAACUAAGAGAUUACCAAUUAUCUCUUGGUUAACUUUGCUAACCAAGAGUUAAAUAACUCAAUGAAAUUUUAAAUUGCAUCUAUAUUAAUAGUAAAGAUUGACAUUA